GGAAGAAAUCGGUAGGUGAGGUUACCACAGGGAUUUGGGCCACCUAAGAUUGCUGCCGCUAAAUUGUGGAGACACAAUGCGCUGGUUAACAGGUCAUGUCGCCGAUAAGGCAUAACCUAACGCAAUUAUUAUGCCCUGUGAUACUAAAGCUUGGACGUAGGAAAGUUUGA
This is a non-coding RNA of Ruminococcus sp. DSM 100440, 170 nucleotides long. Lineage: Bacteria; Bacillati; Bacillota; Clostridia; Eubacteriales; Oscillospiraceae. The record is from Rfam.